GUCUACGGCCAUACCACCCUGAACACGCCUGAUUCCGUCUGAUCUCGGGAGCUAAGCAGGGUCGGGCCUGGUUAGUACUUGGAUGAGAAACCACCUAGGAAUAACAGGUGCUGAAGACA
This is a ribosomal RNA of Pteropus vampyrus (large flying fox), 119 nucleotides long. Lineage: Eukaryota; Metazoa; Chordata; Mammalia; Chiroptera; Pteropodidae. The record is from Ensembl.